UAGGAAUCUUCCACAAUGGGCGAAAGCCUGAUGGAGCGACGCCGCGUGAGGGAUGAAGGCCUUAGGGUUGUAAACCUCUAAAAGAGGGACGAUAAUGACGGUACCUCUUGAAUAGCACCGGCUAACUCCGUGCCAGCAGCCGCGGUAAUACGGAGGGUGCAAGCGUUAUCCGGAAUCACUGGGCGUAAAGGGCGCGUAGGCGGUCUGUUAAGUCCGAUGUUAAAUCCCGGGGCUCAACCCCGGAUAAGCGUUGGAUACUGGCAGGAUAGACGGUUGGAGAGGCGAGUGGAAUUACCAGUGUAGCGGUGGAAUGCGUAGAUACUGGUAGGAACACCCAUUGCGAAGGCAGCUCGCUGGACAACACGUGACGCUGAGGCGCGAAAGUGUGGGGAGCAAACC
This 399-nucleotide ribosomal RNA is filed under the name uncultured bacterium. RNAcentral describes it as "bacterial SSU rRNA". It matches the Rfam family "Bacterial small subunit ribosomal RNA", at positions 356 to 774 of the family's 1533-position model. The record is from RNAcentral.